Molecule: ribosomal RNA, 253 nt
Filed under: uncultured bacterium
Lineage: Bacteria
Description: partial 16S ribosomal RNA
Rfam family: Bacterial small subunit ribosomal RNA
Source: RNAcentral
UACGUAGGUGGCAAACGUUAUCCGGAAUCACUGGGCGUAAAGGGUCUGUAGGCGGUCUUACAGGUCUGGCGUGACAAUUCUCGGCUUAACUGAGAGAGUGCGCUGGAAACCGGAAGACUGGAAUCACGUCGAGGUCGGUGGAAUUCCCGGUGUAGUGGUGGAAUGCGUAGAGAUCGGGAGGAACCCCUAAAGCGAAGGCAGCCGGCUAGACGAUGAUUGACGCUGAGGGACGAUAGCGUGGGGAGCGAACAGG